GCCAAGUGACUCUAAUCUACCUUCUGCUGCCCCUCGCGUCCCAAAACGCAAGCGCGAAAAUCCCAUCUUUAGGGGGCUGCCACACGGAUUUCUUAGCGAUUCAGAUAAUGAGUCGAAGCGGGAAAGCGCGCGCACUAUCGCCGCGCUUAGGACUUCUGUGCGGUCACUACGUGGUGUAGUGGAAGAGCUUAAAGGCGAACUAGCUAACACCCGCGUGAAAUAUAUAGAGCUUAAAGACGACUUAGCCGCUGUACAAUUCGGUCUAACCAACCGGCUUGUCAAGGUGGCUCGGGCUGCGGGUGUAGAGCAUGUUCUAGACACAAACCGCAUCUAGUUCAAUUUUGCUUAGCCGAGUAAUUUAUUUUCCCUUUUAUUCAGAUUUCCUUCAUUUACUUUGUAAUCAAUGUCUCGGCUUAUAUUGAAUAAUAAAGAAGUCCUUUGUUUGAAUUAUUUUGUCUCCACUUGUUUUUGUAUUAUUUUUGUCUACUUGAGAAAAAUCAAAGAACAGGUACAAAAACAAGUGUGGGGGAGGAAUCGCCAUCAAGGUAAUCUUACAUAGAAAAAAAUUUCAGAAUUAUUUUUAUUACUCCUAUGACAAUUUAAAUCUGAUUUAUAUGAUAAAAAUAUUGCUAAUAAAAUAAAAAGAUAAAAAAAUAAAUGAAUACUCCAUUUCCUUUCUGCCUUUGAAAUUAAACAUCCAUACACUUUAUUCCUCGCCAAAAGCCUACCAUUUAUGAGCAACUUUUUAUAAGGACCCCAUUGCUUCUAAGUAAUUGAGAUUUGCGAUAUAGUUGGAUGAUUUGAAACUUUCUCACUUAUGCAAUGAACUUGGGGAUUUAUUUGAUAAAAUUAAAAUUGCAAAAAGUCUGCUCUUCAAUGAUAGAUAAUUACCUACCAAGGCCAAAUUAAUUACUCUUGAUAAAAAUUCUACAAAUAGCUGCUUAUUUGUUCUGAGUUGUGUCAAGUCUUGUUGACCCUUGUUAAGAGAUUUAGCAUGCUCUCAAGAUCAAGAUCACGUACACUCCAGAUACAUAUAUAUGCCGCUUCUACACUGGGAGUGCGCAAAAACAUGCCUUACAUGUCCACCAUACAAACACUCCAUGUUUUAAAGAAUGAUCUCUCUAGUGCAUCUUAGAUAAAGACAUGGGCUAUGCAAAAAUAUAUAUAUAUAAAAAAAGAGAAAAAAAAUAGGCAAGUGCCCGCCAUAGAAUUAGGGGUAUAAAAAUACCCACCUGAAAAAAAAUAUAGGACACAUGAAGGUCCUAAGUAUACAAAAAAAGAUGAGCACAUCAAGGCUCACAAGAAAAUAAAAGAGUUAUGAUAGCCAUGUCUAGAAAUACUUGAUCAGAUCAUAUCAACCAACGGAGUUGUUUAUACCAUAUACCACACACUUGCACAUCUUGAUCUAAGGGUAUGACACUUCUCUUCUUGGAUCCGAGAUUUGACUCGACAAUACAUACAAGGUAAGUAUGCAUUCUCCUUGGUCCAUACCCAAAACUCCAAAUACAGCUUAUAGAGGUAGGACAAAUCAAGAGGUACUUUUACCUUGGUAAGGAACCAGAAACAUUCUCGAGUGAUUUGAGAGUAUCAUCUAAAGAGCAAGACUAUUUUUAUUCAAAAAGGUAAAAACCCAAGUUUUGAGCAAAGUUGAGUAAGAAGAUUUGAAUCCUAACUAUUCCAUUUUUCAAUUACUCAAGAUGUUUUGGUAGACACUCUGAAUGCUCAUAAGUUCAGGUGACGCUUGGAAUAGUUUGUAUGCAGGUUCAUUAGCAGGAGAAGUGGAACCAUCUUAGCCCAAAAACAUAAGCUUUACUCGAGGACGAGCAAAGGGCUAAGUGCGGGGGAGUUUGUGGGUGUUUCUUAAAAUACACUUUUCAUACCGCCAACAUGCAUACAAACUCUAUAAAAUAUCACCAAACAUUAGAAAUAGGGCUUUUUUAUGCUAACCAAAUUCCACAGUUUUGGUGAACACAUGUGUAUGCAGGACACUAGGGUUUGAGCCGCCAAAAUCAAAGAAUUGAAGGCACAUUUAAUUCAAAUACAGAAGUGCAUCGAAAUCUAAUUGGAUUCAAACUCAGAAGGCCGAGGAGCAUCGUUUGGGCUUUGGGC
RNAcentral lists this long non-coding RNA (2109 nucleotides) under Sorghum bicolor (sorghum). RNAcentral's name for it is "long non-coding RNA (SBIC_LNC008892)". Lineage: Eukaryota; Viridiplantae; Streptophyta; Magnoliopsida; Poales; Poaceae. The record is from RNAcentral.